CGAAAAAUAACGAUACGGGACUCAUCCGAGGCCCCGUAAUCGGAAUGAGCACACUUUAAAUCCUUUAACGAGUAUCCAUUGGAGGGCAAGUCUGGUGCCAGCAGCCGCGGUAAUUCCAGCUCCAAUAGCGUAUAUUAAAGUUGUUGCGGUUAAAAAGCUCGUAGUUGGACUUGUGUCCCACGCUGUCGGUUCACCGCCCGUCGGUGUCUAACUGGCAUGGUUCGUGGGACGUCCUGCCGGUGGUGGCGAGUCGAAGGAGCGCGCCCGUCGUGGUUCGCGCCGCGAUCGAGGUUGCGGUCCGGAGACGGACCCCGAUGAAAUCCUACCGCGGUGCUCUUCACCGAGUGUCGAGGUGGGCCGGCACGUUUACUUUGAACAAAUUAGAGUGCUUAAAGCAGGCCUGUUGCGCCUGAAUACUGUGUGCAUGGAAUAAUGGAAUAGGACCUCGGUUCUAUUUUGUUGGUUUUCGGAACCCGAGGUAAUGAUUAAUAGGGACAGUCGGGGGCAUUCGUAUUGCGACGUUAGAGGUGAAAUUCUUGGAUCGUCGCAAGACGGACCGAAGCGAAAGCAUUUGCCAAGUAUGUUUUCAUUAAUCAAGAACGAAAGUUAGAGGUUCGAAGGCGAUCAGAUACCGCCCUAGUUCUAACCAUAAACGAUGCCAGCUAGCGAUCCGCCGAAGUUCCUCCGAUGACUCGGCGGGCAGCUCCCGGGAAACCAAAGCUUUUGGGUUCCGGGGGAAGUAUGGUUGCAAAGCUGAAACUUAAAGGAAUUGACGGAAGGGCACCACCAGGAGUGGAGCCUGCGGCUUAAUUUGACUCAACACGGGAAACCUCACCAGGCCCGGACAC
RNAcentral lists this ribosomal RNA (848 nucleotides) under Stenopelmatus sallei. RNAcentral describes it as "SSU rRNA". It matches the Rfam family "Eukaryotic small subunit ribosomal RNA", at positions 471 to 1231 of the family's 1831-position model. The record is from RNAcentral. Lineage: Eukaryota; Metazoa; Arthropoda; Insecta; Orthoptera; Stenopelmatidae.